This 203-nucleotide long non-coding RNA is filed under the name Elaeis guineensis (African oil palm). RNAcentral's name for it is "long non-coding RNA (EGUI_LNC034651)". The record is from RNAcentral. Lineage: Eukaryota; Viridiplantae; Streptophyta; Magnoliopsida; Arecales; Arecaceae.
CUCAUGUUGAAUUUAGAGAGAGGUGUGUGCCCCUCUCAAUCAUUAUAUGCAUUCCAUGUGGCUUGCACCCAUGGAACCUAUCAGAAGAAGAGGGGGUGUGUGCCCCUCUAGAUCUCAUCCAGAGGUCGUAUGCACCCCACAAGAUACUUUCCAAAAGUUCAGUGCCAAGUCAAAUGUGUAAAAGAGGAAGGCUUGAGGCUUGC